CAGACCUCUAAUCGGAAAAGACUACCCGCUGAGUUUAAGCAUAUCACUAAGCGGAGGAGAAGAAACUAACCAGGAUUUCC
Molecule: ribosomal RNA, 80 nt
Filed under: Scorpidium scorpioides
Lineage: Eukaryota; Viridiplantae; Streptophyta; Bryopsida; Hypnales; Amblystegiaceae
Also listed under: 3 other names
Description: partial 25S ribosomal RNA
Rfam family: Eukaryotic large subunit ribosomal RNA
Source: RNAcentral